This is a small nucleolar RNA of 100 nucleotides. It matches the Rfam family "A. fumigatus snoRNA Afu_304". The record is from Rfam.
UUCACGGAUGAACCAGAGAUCAAAUCUCUAUAAUCCCAGCUCUUCGAACCCUCACCAUACAACGCAAAGAGGUGUAAUGAGAGGACGUCCUUUCUGAUCA